Molecule: non-coding RNA, 481 nt
Filed under: Erwinia tasmaniensis
Lineage: Bacteria; Pseudomonadati; Pseudomonadota; Gammaproteobacteria; Enterobacterales; Erwiniaceae
Description: antisense RNA of rseC mRNA
Rfam family: antisense RNA of rseC mRNA
Source: Rfam by way of RNAcentral
CGGGCAGAAGGUCAAUUAUCAGCUAUCGCUGGAGACACGUAAAACGUCAGGCGGCAGGGCUACGCUGAGGAUCACCGGCUGAAAAGAGGCAGAACGGCCCAGUAAACCGGAAAUGCCUUUAGCAAGAAUAAAGCCUCCCACGCCACCCAGCAGCGCACCGCAGGCGGCCGCUAAAUCGCUGUGAAACAGCAUCUGAAACACGCCAGCCAGGGCAAACAAUCCAAUUAACGGCGUCAUAUAGACCAAAAAAGCCGAGCUGAGCAGGCUGGUUUCAGCAAUACCUAGCUCAAUACGUUGACCCGGAAUAAGCGGUUCCGCACUGGCGAUUUUCAUCACAUGCGCAUUUUUUGGCCCCAGCUUCUCCAGCAUAUGGCUGCCACAGCCUUUACGCGCCGAGCAGCUGUUACAGGACGUUUUCAUUUCGGCGUGCAGCGUCGCGAUGCCAUCCUGCCACGACACCACCGUUGCCCAUUCUUUCAUC